UGGGCGACCAACCAAAGGGAGCUAUCUUUUUCUCUCAAUUUCUCUCGCUUUCUCUCAUGUUCUAUCUGUAUGUUUAGAGUGUUUUAAACUCUCAAGAAAUGUAUAUAAAACUUUGAAUGCUUCGAUCAUGCUUCGUCAAGCUCACGACUUGGUCUCUUUUCCUCUCUAAAGAUUUUUGCUCUGAGUUCUCAACCAUUCGGGCAUUAUAUAGACAUACAGCUGACCUUGUUUUCUAGGAGCCUCUAUUGUUAUGCUUUGGACAUGACUCACUGGAGAUGGGUUUCUUUGUUUUUUUCUGAUUCGGGUCUGUUUGGCUGCCGAGAAAGUAGACGAUGAUGAGAAGGAAAGAAAUAGAAGUGGGUUUUUUUUUGAGUUUUUAGGGGAAGUGAAAGUGUUCGGUUAACUAGGUCUUUUUGUUUCUCUCCGCUGAGACUUACAGACCAUUUAGAACUACUUAGAUCCAAACAAAUCUGCCCUCUUCUUCUUUGGACAUGGUCCGGUUUUUGCUCGUUUGAUUAAUUUUGACCUACUCGAGAUGGUUUUUUUUUUGUUUUUGGCUCUAUAGGGGUGCUGAGAAAAUGUAGAAAUGGGAAGGAAAAAAAAAUUGAAACGGGUUUUUCUUGGUGUAGCAUCGUGGGUUUUUAGGAACUAGAAGUGUUUACUAAAAUGCUUCUAAGUACGUUUUUGUUUUCCUGGGGCUUCUUGGCAACCAAACAGAGCGAAUUUAUAGAUGGAAGUUGGUGUGUUGUUUUUUCAAAGUUUGAGCAACUCUUUUGGUUGCUGAGAAUGCCUUUGGAAUAGGGACACUUUUAAGUUUUAAGUCUAUUCUUAGGUACUCUCCCUCUCUUUGUAUGCUCACUUCCUCCUUGGAAGCUUCUUACAUCAAUUACAAUCAAAUUCUUUUCUAUUAAACCCUUUCUUCCUUUUCUUCUAUUUUCUUAGCAACCAAACGGAAAACAAAAAUAGAAUGAAAAAGAGGGGAUGAGGAAGUGAGCAUUCAAAGAGAAGUACUGCCCCUGUUGCUUGAUAUUCUUCUUUUUAUAUUUUUUAAUAUUAAAUGUUGGAAAUAAGAAUAGACUUAAUGAAUCUUUGCCAUCUUCUCUAAAUUUUUGCUA
Molecule: long non-coding RNA, 1115 nt
Filed under: Vitis vinifera (wine grape)
Lineage: Eukaryota; Viridiplantae; Streptophyta; Magnoliopsida; Vitales; Vitaceae
Description: long non-coding RNA (VVIN_LNC005291)
Source: RNAcentral